GACUCAUCCACAUGUCUGUCUCUCCCACUCU
RNAcentral lists this non-coding RNA (31 nucleotides) under Mus musculus (house mouse). Lineage: Eukaryota; Metazoa; Chordata; Mammalia; Rodentia; Muridae. The record is from RNAcentral.